CCUACGGGAGGCAGCAGUGAGGAAUAUUGGUCAAUGGGCGCGAGCCUGAACCAGCCAAGUAGCGUGAAGGAAGACGGCCCUACGGGUUGUAAACUUCUUUUAUAAAGGAGUAAAUUGAACCACGUGUGCCUUAUUGUAUGUACUUUAUGAAUAAGCAUCGGCUAACUCCGUGCCAGCAGCCGCGGUAAUACGGAGGAUCCGAGCGUUAUCCGGAUUAAUUGGGUUUAAAGGGAGCGUAGAGGGGGGGUUAAGUCAGGUGUGAAAGUUCGCGGCUCAACCGUAGAACUGCCAUUGAUACUGGCAGCCUGGAGUACAGUAGAGGUAGGCGGAAUUCGUGGUGUAGCGGUGAAAUGCUUAGAUAUCACGAAGAACCCCGAUUGCGAAGGCAGCUUACUAAACUGUGACUGACAUUGAUGCUCGAAAGUGUGGGUAUCAAACAGGAUUAGAUAUCCCGGUAGUC
Molecule: ribosomal RNA, 460 nt
Filed under: uncultured bacterium
Lineage: Bacteria
Description: partial 16S ribosomal RNA
Rfam family: Bacterial small subunit ribosomal RNA
Source: RNAcentral